Molecule: ribosomal RNA, 253 nt
Filed under: uncultured bacterium
Lineage: Bacteria
Description: partial 16S ribosomal RNA
Rfam family: Bacterial small subunit ribosomal RNA
Source: RNAcentral
UACGUAGGGAGCAAGCGUUGUUCGGAUUUACUGGGCGUAAAGCGCACGUAGGCGGCUUCUUAAGUCGGUGGUGAAAUCCUGGAGCUCAACUCCAGAACUGCCUUCGAUACUGGGAAGCUCGAGUCCGGGAGAGGUGAGUGGAACUGCGAGUGUAGAGGUGAAAUUCGUAGAUAUUCGCAAGAACACCAGUGGCGAAGGCGGCUCACUGGCCCGGUACUGACGCUGAGGUGCGAAAGCGUGGGGAGCAAACAGG